Molecule: unclassified non-coding RNA, 298 nt
Filed under: Hevea brasiliensis (rubber tree)
Lineage: Eukaryota; Viridiplantae; Streptophyta; Magnoliopsida; Malpighiales; Euphorbiaceae
Source: RNAcentral
AAAACAUUCUGCAGCUGCGGCUGCAGCUGAAGCAGGAGGCUUAACUACAUGUAAUUCAAUUGCUGCCUGCUUAGAAUCGAAUAAACUAUAAUGGUUACUUGCCUUUCAUGCGCUGUCAAUACUCCCUCUACAAGAACUCCAUUUUUUAGCUCUUAUGGUCGCACCAGUAAUCCCAAGUUUGGUUCUCACGAAGCUCUCAUCUUAAUUCAGAAGUGCUCUAAUUUCAGUCAUCUCAAGCUUAUUCACGCUAGGAUCAUUCGCAAUGGCCUGUCUAAUGAUCAAUUGCUUGUUAGAAAAU